UUUUCGGGGUAAUCCCUAGGUAACGGCGAGUGAGCGGGAUGAGCUCAAAUUUGUAAUCUGGUGGACUAAGUUCAUCCGAGUUGUAAUCUAUAGAAGUGUUUUCCGCGCUGGACCGUGUCUAAGUCCCUUGGAACAGGGUGUCAGAGAGGGUGAGAAUCCCGUGCUUGAUACGACCACCAGUGCUAUGUGAUACACUUUCAACGAGUCGAGUUGUUUGGGAAUGCAGCUCAAAAUGGGUGGUAAAUUCCAUCUAAAGCUAAAUAUUGGCGAGAGACCGAUAGCGAACAAGUACCGUGAGGGAAAGAUGAAAAGCACUUUGGAAAGAGAGUUAAACAGUACGUGAAAUUGUUAAAAGGGAAACGAUUGAAGUCAGUCGUGCUCUCUGGGACUCAGCCGGUUCUUCCGGUGUACUUCCCAGUGAGCGGGUCAACAUCAGUUUAGAUCGCUGGAUAAAGGUAUUAGGAAGGUGGCUCCCUCGGGAGUGUUAUAGCCUAGUAUCGCAUACAGUGGUUUAGACUGAGGAACGCAGCUCGCCUUUAUGGCCGGGGUUCGCCCACGUCCGAGCUUAGGAUGUUGACAUAAUGGCUUUAAACGACCCGUCUUGAAACACGGAC
Molecule: ribosomal RNA, 614 nt
Filed under: Holtermanniella festucosa
Lineage: Eukaryota; Fungi; Basidiomycota; Tremellomycetes; Holtermanniales
Description: eukaryotic LSU rRNA
Rfam family: Eukaryotic large subunit ribosomal RNA
Source: RNAcentral